CAGCGUGCGGCAUUUCGCGCUUGCGUAGUUUUGGUUCUCAUGAUGGCGGCGUCGAAUGUUGGUUUGCGUCGGGCAGUGCCACUUGUCGUUAUUUUGGGAGCUACUGGCACAGGCAAGUCACGUUUAGCUUUGGAAUUAGGACAGCGGUUGGGUGGUGAGAUUGUCAGCGCUGAUUCAAUGCAGGUGAAAGUUACCGUAGAUUAAGGAAGUGCUUGCUAGCUACAGCGAACAACUCAGAAGCCACAUGCUGCAGUGGAGUCAGAGAAGAACCUAGCGCAUGAGGCAAGCAGCAAAAUGCCUUUUUAAAGAUACUUGGAGACGACUGAAUACAUCAAGUCCCAUGUAGAACCUGAGCAGAGUCGGACCUUUAUCAAAGGUGUACCAGAACCUGUAGUGAUGUCUAAACUCAGACAAGACGACAGCAGCACCACAGGAGGGAAACCCAGGAGUCAGUGUUGUAGAGGCAGUCAUGAUCAAAAUGACUACAACUGCAAAAAAAUAAGUUUCAGCAACAAGCAGCUGGCAUGAAGUAGCGAGAAAGAGUGCUCCAGUAAGAGUGGGAGACUAAUGAAGUGCUGGCAUUUCUUUGAACUUGAGAAAGUGAAAGUGCUUCUCGAGACCUAGGCAACAUGUUGAGAUGCAAGGAUUGUAAUUAAUGUAAAUUGUUCAUUUAAUGGCUGUAUGGAGAGUGGGGAAAGAAGAUGAAAAAGUUGCAUUUUUUGAAUAGUGGUUUUGCACACUAAUGUUGCUGACCAGUGCUGGAGCUCAAGGUACUUACUGGUGAACCUUAUGAUGCAUUAAUUAGGGUCAGUGUAAUUUAUUUUGUCUAUCAGCUGUUAAUAAUAAUAAUAAUAAUAAUAAUAAUAAUAAUAAUAAUAAUAAAAUAAAAACAACAGAUGUCCUUUUCAUUCAUCCUCACUGAUGGGUUAUAGAUCUGAUCGAGGGAUCCGACUCGGCUGCAUCUUCCAGACUUCAAAUCCUAGUCUCGGGCUCCUCCCUCUUCCCAAAAUGCACCACACCACCUCUAACUCCUUAGAUCUCAUUUGCUGCCAUCCUGGUCAGAUGCAUGAUUCUGGUCUCUAGCUGUAAGAAAUUUAUUUUUAAACUUUAGUUCCAAUUUUUCUUUGAUCUGCUAUUUCCUGUUGGUUCAUCCUUCAUCAGUGGCCAUUCUUGGCUAGAAAUACUUUCUUCCAUUCUGGUCGUCUUUGUGCUGGAUCUCUUAAAGUUGUUAAUACCCAGCAGGAAGAAGUACAAGAUGUUAUGUCUCGGCUCUUGCAUUUUCCACAGGGUGGAUGGAUAUUUGUUUUAUAUGGCUUUACAUGUAGUCUUAGUGGUUGGUCUCCUUUUUCCAUGUACCUUAUUUUUGUCUCCGAAUCUCUCCAUGCUGGCUGGCCUGUUGCCUUGCAUUUUUUUUACUGCUCGGAAGGGUUUUCCUACCAGACUUGCCUUUUUCUGUCUGGUUUUGCUUUUGGUCAGCUCUUCGGUCUUGGGGCUUUUGUGUUUGUGUUUGUGUUUUAUUUUAUUUAUUUAUUUUUAUUUUAGCGUUCAAGUUGGAAUUAUCGCUACAGGUGUAUGUUUAGGUUGUGGCUUAUCCAAUGUUGCGUGUUUUUUAAAAUAAAAACAAGAUAGGAUGAGAGGUUUUGAAUUUGCUGCCUUGAAUGGCCUUGGGUAUUCCUGUGGUGGCUAGGCUUGUAUAGGCCCUAGGGCCAAUAGCCUAGUGCCUACCUAUGAACCUAUGGUGCUUUUGCGGUUGUUUGAGAAUAGACUGAGUAGCUACAGUACUAAAUAAUGGCGUACAGUUUUUCAGACAUUUCCUUCAGAAAAUGUGCUAAUACAAUUCCUAUUCUAGCCAUUUUCUAAGUUUACACAAGCAAUGUUUAGUAUGUGUUCUUGUGUCAAGGGGUUGAAAGGUAUGGGUCCUGGGUUUACUGGGCUGGUCCAGAUUGAAUGAAUCUAUAAAAAUGUGCCCACAUGAAAUACAGUACAAGAGAACUGGAGGGCCGAAGUUUUGAGGGACCGAUUUCUUUUAUCUGUCUGAUGUGCUGGGCUCGCGUGCUUUGUUUCUACACCUUAGAGCCCUUUGUUUCUUGCUGGUUUCUUUGGGGCUCAAUCCCCCCCCCAUACAGAGAAACUGCCAAUAACAGGUGUCUCCAAUCCAGUCCUUUGGAACUGGGGUCACUAGAACUCCGUUGGAUCCCAAGUCUCCUUGGAACUGACAGGUUGGUCCAUUGGGGUGUUUCCACUUUUUAUCAUUGGAUCGUAGGCCUGCAGAUCUGACUGUCUGGGACUUUGCUCUGGAUCAACCUCUUAGGAUCAGACUGGUGUGUGGACUCUUUCCGAUCUGGGUUCCUCCCACCAUGGAACCCUUUUGAUCUGAACAGUUUCUCUUCCCCCUUCCUUGGACCCUGACACUGGGAUCCUAUGAAUGUUAGGUGCCCAUGAAGGGCUGUGCAGCCCUCAGAUUUGGCUCCUUUGGGUCCAAUGCCAUUGGACUGUUGUAGUUUUCUGUGGAUUUGAGACACUCCUCAGAUCCGACUGAUUCAUUGUUUUGCUGCUUCUGCAGCUAACUUUUGUGGUGCCUUUUAACCUUUAGAUCCAGCGUGUUCACAUGUGUCCUUCACUCUGAUACUUGGGUCCGACAACUAGCUAAUCCCGUGAGAGAACUGUGCUGCUUCGGAUCCUGAAAUGUUGAACAGUUGGACAUUUCUUCAGAUCUGGGGCUCCCCUUGGACCAGACAGUAAGGAACCAGUAUUUGUUGCGGUCACUUGUCGUUUAGAAACUGCUUCUGAUACAGAUCCUGUUCAUUUAGCCAGUACCCCUAGAGUAUCCAGAGUCUUACCUCCCCCUUUGAGCUGCACUUUUAAUUUGAUAAUUAAGGAUAUACAUUCAUUUUCACUCAUCGUAUCCUUGACGCAUGAUAAUAUAACCAUAAAAAAUAUAUCUCUAUUCUCCUACUUUGUCCCGCCUUCCACUCUGUCAUAGUUUCUUGGAGGUAUUUUCUGAGUCUGGUCUGUCUGACCCAGGAUUUGUGCUGAGCCUGCAGACAAGACCUUCAUUUUGGUUAGGCUCAAUUAUUCUGGUAUCCAUUCCUGCAGCAUAAGAUUUCUCACUGCAAUGUCCAUUUCCCUUUCUAACAUUAAAGUUCUGAAACAAACCGGUCUUCCCAACCAUGUCUCGAUGACUCUGUGCAACUUUGUGGAACCCCUUAGGGUGACCUUUGUUGAAGCCCUCCUUUGGUGGUUCCUCUUUGUUUGGGCCACCAGUGAAAGACAUGCCCACCAGCGGCAAACAGGAAGGAUAGACUCUGCCAUGGGAAUCAACCCCCCCCCAGUGGACCCCCCCCCAAGAAACGAGCAAGAGGGAAAGGAGGCCAUGGUUCUGGAAGUUUGGGAGGGGGGGGGAUGCUUUUCAGACCCACAUGGGGGGAUACUUGCUCUGUAGCCAGAGGAUUAAUUUUCAAUGGGGGGGCAUCACUACAGAGGCUAAGGGCAUCUGCAAAAUCGGGCUUCAGAUCAGAGAACGGACCCUAUCAGUGAACGGACCCUAUCAGUGAUCCUGAAGGGUUGGGGCUGCCCGACUUGUCUCUGGAGGCAAUUGGGUUGUCAUUCACUACACCUAGGUGCAUUAGGUAGAUCUUACAGGCAAUGCUUAUAGGCUAAACAUUAUGUCCAGAGGUUAAUUCCUGUUUUCCCUGUUACCUCCAGAAAGCCGGGGGAAACUCCCCGAUCUUCAACCAUUCAGAGGGAGUGUGCAGCUCUAAGACUCCAAAAGCUGCUACACAGUCAUCAAAGGGGGUCCCAACUAAAAAAAAAAAAAAAAAAAGCUCCUGCUUUUUGCUGCUAAAGAAAAUGGGGGUUCUGAGACUAAUUCUGGAUCUAAGAAAUCUGACUCUGUUAUGAAGCCGAAGUUCUGAAUAGCUACAGUUUAGUCCAUUGUUCCUAUUCUGAGCAAGGACAAUUGGUUAGGCCCUGUGGAAAAAAUAGGCGGUCAUGGAAACAUUUGCAUGUCUGCUGGGGGCCAAUCACUACCAACUCAGAGCACUGCCCUUUGGGCUUACCACAGCUCCCUAGGUGUUCAAAUGUAGGGCAGUUGUGGCAGCUCACUUGAGGUUCAUAGGAUUCCAGAUGUUUCCCUGUCUGGACAAUUGGCUCCUCACUCUCAUUAAGACCAACUUCUACAAGCCAGGGAUUACUUGCUUCAGAUUUCCAACUCCCUAGGCCUCAGCAUAACCCAACUCCCAUACGAAAUCUUGAGUUUCUAGGCACUCUAUUGGAUACUACCAAUCAAGUAGAGUCGUUACUUCACUGCUUUAUUUCUCUGAAAAGUCAGGUUUGGGGCUUUUCCUGGAGUCUAUUCUUUACCACCCUCUAUCUACUCCUAUCAGGUUCACUCUAUUUUGCAAAUGUCAUAUUCAGUGGUCGAUACAGUUAAUGACCUGUUCUGGGCAGGCCAUUUUUUCUUGCCUCCCCAGUACCCAUGCUCACCCUGGACACUUCCUAUUCUGGAUGGGGAGACAUUACGAGGGAAAGGUGGCCUGAGACACAUGGUUCCCUUUGGAGACCAAGCUACAUAUCAAUAUCCUCGAGUUGAGAGUAGUCGUCCUAAUGCUGCAAGCUUCUCAUGUUUUCCCUCUGGGGACUGUUGCAGUCCAUGUAGACAUGUUAGUAGUCUGGUAUAUUAACAAACACAGGGGAACCUGUUCCCAACCACUGUGCAGAGAGGACAUGAGGGUCUGUGAAUGGGUGAUUUCUUCAGAUCGCUUUCCAGUUGCAAUGUAUGUAUCGGGGAAAUAGUGCUUUUGUAGGCAACCUAAACAGGCCCAUUCUUAUUCCAUACCAGUGGUCUGUCAAUGCGUCAGUAGCUAGCAUGAUUUUUGGUCGGUAGAGCCAGCUUUGCUGUGCGACCCUUUAACCUCUCCCCUCAUCAACUAUUGCAGCACAUUCUUUGCUCUCAUUCCUCUAUCCAUGGGAAUCCCCCAGGGAUGCUCUGGUUCCCGAUUGGCCCCCAGGUGUCUGCUAUACUUGUAUUCCUCUUCCUCGAAUUCCAUAGUCCCAACAGACAGCAAGCAGGCUGAAUAAGGCUCACUUACACUCGUUGCUUUUUUUUUUUCACCUCGUCGGGUGUGGUUUACCUGCUCCUGAUCUCGCCUCUGUUAUCUUUCAUGUGAACUCAAUUCUUCAUUGCGUACAAUAUUAUAUUUGCCUGUGGAGUUUUUCUCCAAGACUUUGAUAUAAACAGGUUCUGUUACCUGUCUGACUGUCCCGGUAAAACUAAUGUCAAAUGAUAAAUAAUUUUACUUAUUUGGGUUUCUGUCCCGAACAUUGGACCUCUCUCAGCUGCUAUUCUUCUCACCCUUUUUUUCAGCCUGGUACGUUUAAGCAGGCCGCCAGAUUUCUCUACCAUUAAUAAACUUGAACCAGUCCUGCUUUUAAGCCCUCAGUAGGCACAAAAUCAAUUCAGUUAUCCGUGUGCUCUCCAAAUCAUUGCAGUGAAGGUGAAUAUUUCCGAGAAAGUACAGAGAAUUUGAUCACUUUUUAAUCCCUUUUUCUCUAUCUGCUUAGGUCGAGUGGUGUCCAGUUACAGAUGUUGUUUUCAUUAUUUAUCCAUUAAGAGAGUUGCUAUUACCUCAUCCUCCCAAAGCCCCUUUACCAGGUCAGUGGCCAUUUCAUCUGCCUUCUCCACGAGAACGUCCUUUUUAUAGUAGAAAGUAAGAAUCUACAUAGUUUCAGUAUUUGUCAUCCUUUCUGAAUUGUCAGUUUUAUGUUUAAAUUUUCCUCUGGGACUGACAGCACAGAAAAUCUGACCAGCUGUUUAUUUUUCUUUCCUUCUAUCAGCCUGGGUUGCACAGUCCCAUAUAUAAUCCUGGCCAGUUAAACUACCGAUUGUAUUUUGCUGAGUUGUUUACAAAGUGGUAUGGAAUUGUCUCCUCAUCCUAGAAUUAUUCUGUCAAAACCAUGACUUCUUAACUUUCCUACUGCAGUUUGAUAUCUCCUACAGUAAUUUGUUUUUAUACUCUUACUCUUGUGACACAUUACAAACUGGGCAUGGUCUCCAGAAAUGGACCAUCCUUUGGUUUUGACAAUUCUCUAGCAUAUCCUUCCUUGAGAGCCUCCCACGAAUUUAUGUAGCUUUGGAGUCUACCCAUCAGUGAGGAAGAAUGAGGAGGACAUCAUCAUAUUUAGGAGUUAUGUACUUGUCAUAACUUGGUAUGUGUUCUUUCUCAUUUUUCCUCAUCUUCCCUGUCAGGCAUCCCCUAACCUUUUUUCUAGAGAGAGGUUUGUAUUUUAAUGGAACGUUGAGUUCCAAGGUUUGUUGCAAUUCUUAUCUGUCCUCCCUCUCUAAAUCAGUAGACGUGGGCAGCAAACCCGAUCUGAGGAGUUAGACGUGCUGUGGUGCAUUAUGGGAAGAUGGAGGAGCUCGAAGGAUCUGAAGUCUAGAAGAUGUGGACGAAUUAGAGGAUUGGAUCUGUAUCCCAUCAGUGAGGAAGAAAGAGGACAACACGCAUACCAAGUUAUGGAAAAGUACAUAACUCAUAAUUUGGAUGAACUAAAAAGAAACUUAUCAGUCCAAUAAAGAGAAAGGUAACACUUG
Long non-coding RNA from Protopterus annectens (West African lungfish), 6592 nucleotides. RefSeq lists it as uncharacterized. The transcript is spliced from 2 exons. The record is from RefSeq and is a predicted model, not a curated record. Lineage: Eukaryota; Metazoa; Chordata; Ceratodontiformes; Protopteridae.